AGAGUUUGAUCCUGGCUCAGGACGAACGCUGGCGGCGUGCCUAACACAUGCAAGUCGAGCGGUGAAAUCCCUUCGGGGAUGGAUUAGCGGCGGACGGGUGAGUAACACGUGGGUAACCUGCCUCAAAGAGGGGGAUAGCCUCCCGAAAGGGAGAUUAAUACCGCAUAAUAUUAGUUUUUCGCAUGAAGAACUAAUUAAAGGAGUAAUCCGCUUUGAGAUGGACCCGCGGCGCAUUAGCUAGUUGGUGAGGUAACGGCUCACCAAGGCGACGAUGCGUAGCCGACCUGAGAGGGUGAUCGGCCACAUUGGAACUGAGACACGGUCCAGACUCCUACGGGAGGCAGCAGUGGGGAAUAUUGCACAAUGGGCGAAAGCCUGAUGCAGCAACGCCGCGUGAGUGAUGAAGGCUUUCGGGUUGUAAAGCUCUGUCUUUGGGGACGAUAAUGACGGUACCCAAGGAGGAAGCCACGGCUAACUACGUGCCAGCAGCCGCGGUAAUACGUAGGUGGCGAGCGUUGUCCGGAUUUACUGGGCGUAAAGGAUGCGUAGGCGGAUAUUUAAGUGAGAUGUGAAAUACCCGGGCUUAACUUGGGUGCUGCAUUUCAAACUGGAUAUCUAGAGUGCGGGAGAGGAGAAUGGAAUUCCUAGUGUAGCGGUGAAAUGCGUAGAGAUUAGGAAGAACACCAGUGGCGAAGGCGAUUCUCUGGACCGUAACUGACGCUGAGGCAUGAAAGCGUGGGUAGCAAACAGGAUUAGAUACCCUGAUAGUCCACGCCGUAAACGAUGAGUACUAGGUGUAG
RNAcentral lists this ribosomal RNA (800 nucleotides) under uncultured bacterium. RNAcentral's name for it is "bacterial SSU rRNA". It matches the Rfam family "Bacterial small subunit ribosomal RNA", at positions 8 to 825 of the family's 1533-position model. The record is from RNAcentral.